RNAcentral lists this ribosomal RNA (690 nucleotides) under Absidia fusca. RNAcentral describes it as "eukaryotic LSU rRNA". It matches the Rfam family "Eukaryotic large subunit ribosomal RNA", at positions 42 to 629 of the family's 3401-position model. Lineage: Eukaryota; Fungi; Mucoromycota; Mucoromycetes; Mucorales; Cunninghamellaceae. The record is from RNAcentral.
AUCAAUAAGCGGAGGAAAAGAAAAUAACAAUGAUUCCCUCAGUAACGGCGAGUGAACAGGGAAAAGCUCAAAGUUGGAACCUCCUAGCCCUAGGCUCGGCGGAUUGUAAACUAAAGCUGUUGAGUAGUUCGGUUAGCCUGGUAAAAAAGUUCUCUGGAAAGGGACGACAUGGAGGGUGAAAUCCCCGUCUUUGGCCAGAGCAUAAUCCUACGUUUGCUCGAUAGCGAAGAGUCAGGUUGUUGGGUAAUGCAGCUUAAAAUGGGAGGUAAAUCUCUCCUAAAGCUAAAUAUUGACGAAAGACCGAUAGCGAACAAGUACCGUGAGGGAAAGAUGAAAAGCACUUUGAAAAGAGGGUCAAAAAGUACGUGAAAUUGCUGAAAGGGAACCGUAUGAAAUCAGCCUGAUCUUUUGGUAAUCAACCUGGGCUUUGGCCUGGGUGCACUUGCCGAUGGAUUAGCCUACGACAAUUCGGUCUCAAGGAAAAAAUUAGGGGGAAUGUGGCCUACGUUUCGGCGGAGGUGUUAUAGCCCUUUGAAAAAUACUUGGGACUGGAUUGAGGCAUGCAGCGAGCCUUUAUUGGUAUUGGGUCUCGGGUGCUUUGUGUUAACUGGGCGGAAAUCUCUACUUUAAGGUAGUGUUCGUCUUUUUGGCAUUAACUCGCCUGUUCUCUUAUUCUCGCUAGGUCGUAGC